Molecule: long non-coding RNA, 225 nt
Filed under: Gallus gallus (chicken)
Lineage: Eukaryota; Metazoa; Chordata; Aves; Galliformes; Phasianidae
Source: RNAcentral
UGGGGUUCCGUGCUCUGUCCCAGGGUUUCGUGCGCUUCUUAUGGGGAUCUGUCUGUUCUUAUGGGAGUCGGUGCGCUCCUAUAGGGUUCCAUGCUUUGCGCGCCCCCUCCUUCGCCUCCCUCAGCGCCCCCUCCAGGGACUGCACUCGCGCAGCCGUAGCCCGAAGGCGCUUCUCCAACUUCGGAAGCUCACAGCGCAGAUCUGCAUUGUCACGCACCAACUGCG